GCAUGGCCUUAUUGAUAUUCUUACCACAAUCGAACCUAAACCACUUGCUAAUUAUCAGGAAGACACUUUUUUUUUUUCAUCAAAGACUAUUAUUUCAGAAGCUCCUAGUAAUACAUUUUGCAGGGAAAAAAACAUCUCUGUAGUUGGGUGGCUAAUAGCACAUGAAUUUUUCCAAGGCAGUUCUAUUGUGUGGGGUGGAUAUCAUAAAGAAUUGUUCAGCAGUCAACGAUUAUUCUUACUGCUACUGAGGCUGAAAGGCUAUAAAGCAUCACAGUGCAUGAGUGUUUGAAUGGAAAUUGUUCUCAACACUGAAGAGGAACAUAAAAUCUGGAUUUGAAAUAUGCCACUUGCACCUGGAGGCAAGACGUGCGAGAUGGAUACAGUGCACCAUCACAAUCACAAAACCCUGCAGUGAGUCAAACACGGCAAAGAGGAUCUGAAACAGGAUGGAGCGUUUGUCUGUCAUGGCCAGCACUGCAGACAUCCAGGUCAACGCCAGCAGAGGCGCAGCAGAAACAGCCAACAUGUGGGUGUUUCAAGGAUUUUCAUCUUGGACUGAUUCUGCCAAAGAAAUACGAUGCCAUGUCGCUCCUGAGAGGGAUCUGACCUCUUUAUGUUUAUGCUUCUAAUUUUCUCUCAACAGCAGGAAAAGGGGGUCUAAAUCUCCAUAUGGAAAAAAAAAUUCAAAGGAUGUGAAUAUUUUACAGGGAUGUUAUAAGUGGGAAUCUUUGUAAUAAGAAAAAAUGGAGGUACUAACGAGAGUGUGCUGUCAUACCCUGCUCGAUGCUUCAACUUCUUGUCCAGAAUGCCAUCUCUGGACACUAAUUUAUUAAACACCAGGAUGCCGAUCACCAUGUUGACCUAUGAGAAGGAAGAAAUACAGGAGUUAAGUUUUUCAAUUGCUCAAAUGCAACAAGCUUAUUUGAAAACAAAUGUUAAAUGUAUCAUUGGAUAUUACAGUAGGACAUUCUCCAUGGGAAUACAUGAUUAAUGCCAUUAGCUUAGAGGCACUUUUUUCUCAAUUUUCCAUCUGGGCUGAGCUUUGACCUCUGGCUUUGUACUGUUUGCUCAUCACUGUGACAUUUCAGCCAAUGGAUGAGGCAUACCCUGCACACUCAGCCCAACACAACAGCCUGAAGGAAGGAUCUGCCUGACAAGAAUCACUUGUCUUUUCAAAGGCACCUUUUUCAUAGUCUUAGCAGUCCCUGCACUAAUGGAAAGCUGAGGCAGAUGACGCUGGGAAGAAAAUUAUUUCAAUAUUAUCAUCUGUAUCAAAUCCCCCAAGCUAAGAGAAAAGAACGCAUCAAGUAUUUAUGGAAAUACAUUUUGGUAACCUUUAUUUAACAGGCCUUGUCACUUUGAAACAGUUGUACUGUAUGAUU
This is a long non-coding RNA of Myripristis murdjan (pinecone soldierfish), 1382 nucleotides long. RefSeq lists it as uncharacterized. NCBI's taxonomy places the organism in Eukaryota, Metazoa, Chordata, Actinopteri, Holocentriformes, Holocentridae. The transcript is spliced from 4 exons. The record is from RefSeq and is a predicted model, not a curated record.